This 253-nucleotide ribosomal RNA is filed under the name uncultured bacterium. RNAcentral describes it as "partial 16S ribosomal RNA". It matches the Rfam family "Bacterial small subunit ribosomal RNA", at positions 524 to 776 of the family's 1533-position model. The record is from RNAcentral.
UACGGGGGGUGCGAGCGUUGCUCGGAAUUAUUGGGCGUAAAGCGUACGCAGGCGGCUCGUUAAGUCGAGUGUGAAAUCCCGGGGCUCAACCCCGGACGUGCAUCCGAAACUGGCGAGCUUGAGUGCGGGAGAGGGAAGCGGAAUUCCUGGUGUAGAGGUGAAAUUCGUAGAUAUCAGGAGGAACACCGGUGGCGAAAGCGGCUUCCUGGCCCGAUACUGACGCUCAUGUACGAAAGCGUGGGGAGCAAACAGG